UUGAAAUGGUGGUCGGUAAAAUUGAGGACGGAUUCUCACGAUUUUUCGUAGUUCUGGGAGCGGAGUGAGGAGGAGUAUCACACGUGGAUAAUACAGGGUGACUCUCCGGCGUGGCGGCAGCGGGUGGGGAAGUAGAGAUUAGGGUUUGGAGUGAGGGAGAUUGGGGAAGAUGAUGAUGCGGUUUUUUUGUUGUUUUUUUUUACACAUGUCAAUAAUAUGCUUAGGUGUCAAUUUCUAGAUGCCACCACAUUAAUUCCGACUGCCACCGUGUCAUUUUCG
RNAcentral lists this long non-coding RNA (279 nucleotides) under Salvia miltiorrhiza (redroot sage). RNAcentral describes it as "long non-coding RNA (SMIL_LNC012835)". The record is from RNAcentral. Lineage: Eukaryota; Viridiplantae; Streptophyta; Magnoliopsida; Lamiales; Lamiaceae.